Molecule: long non-coding RNA, 436 nt
Filed under: Rattus norvegicus (Norway rat)
Lineage: Eukaryota; Metazoa; Chordata; Mammalia; Rodentia; Muridae
Description: long non-coding RNA NONRATT023627
Source: RNAcentral
CCCUGGGUUCAGUCCCCAGCUCCGAAAAAAAGAAAAAAAAAAAGAAAAAGAAAAAAAAAGAGUUCUAGAGAAUGGGACAGGGGACAUACCUCUACAUAAUAAAGGAUAUGACACAAGCCCACAGUCAACAUCAAACUAAAUGGAAUAUUUCCACUGAAAUCAGGAAUAAGACAAGACAAGAGUAUCCCCUCUCUCCUCUCCUGUUCAAUAUAGUGCUUAUUUUCUUAGCUAGAGCAGUAAGACAGGAGAGAGAUAAAAGAAGCAACCGAAAAGGAAAGGAAAAUGUCAAAAUACCCAAUUCAUAGCUGGUAAACACAUUCAAAAAGCCUAUUAGGAUACAAAAUUACCACACGAAAAACCAUCUUCCUAUAUGCAAACAGAAAAUACUAGAAAGAAAUCAAGAAAUCAUUAUUCACAAUUACUUCACCCCUCCCUC